UACGGAGGAUCCAAGCGUUAUCCGGAAUCAUUGGUUUUAAAGUGUCCGUAGGCGGGACAAUAAGUCAGUGGUGAAAGUCUGCAUCUCAACUGUAGAAUUGCCAUUGAUCCUGUUGUUCUUGAGUGUUUAUGAAGUGGUUAGAAUAUGUAGUGUAGCGGUGAAAUGCAUAGAUAUUACAUAGAAUACCGAUUGCGAAGGCAGAUCACUAAUAAUUUACUGACGCUGAGGGACGAAAGCGUAGGUAGCGAACAGG
Molecule: unclassified non-coding RNA, 253 nt
Filed under: uncultured Flavobacteriaceae bacterium
Lineage: Bacteria; Pseudomonadati; Bacteroidota; Flavobacteriia; Flavobacteriales; Flavobacteriaceae
Description: contains 16S-23S intergenic spacer region
Rfam family: Bacterial small subunit ribosomal RNA
Source: RNAcentral